CUGGCAGAGCUGGAACCAGUGGGCGAUGAGGGCUGCUCAGGGUCCAGAUUCACCAGGCAGGUCGGGAACGAGCAGCCAUCACCUGAACUGGAGAUUCAGCAGAAAAGACGAAAGGAAGCAUGAGCCAAUCAUUUUCAUUAAAAUGCUCCCUAUAUGUUUGUAAAUGAAGCUUCACUAAACCAUGCAGAUUGUUUUUUCAAGCUUUUUC
Molecule: long non-coding RNA, 208 nt
Organism: Melanotaenia boesemani (Boeseman's rainbowfish)
Lineage: Eukaryota; Metazoa; Chordata; Actinopteri; Atheriniformes; Melanotaeniidae
Exons: 3
Source: RefSeq, a predicted model, not a curated record